RNAcentral lists this transfer RNA (73 nucleotides) under Heyndrickxia coagulans. RNAcentral's name for it is "tRNA-Val (TAC) (tRNA-Val-TAC-2-1)". It matches the Rfam family "tRNA". Rfam says of the family: Transfer RNA (tRNA) molecules are approximately 80 nucleotides in length. Lineage: Bacteria; Bacillati; Bacillota; Bacilli; Caryophanales; Bacillaceae. The record is from RNAcentral. RNAcentral also lists the same sequence under 12 other names.
GGAGGAUUAGCUCAGCUGGGAGAGCGUCUGCCUUACAAGCAGAGGGUCGGCGGUUCGAGCCCGUCAUCCUCCA